Long non-coding RNA from Gasterosteus aculeatus aculeatus (three-spined stickleback), 6781 nucleotides. The record is from Ensembl. Lineage: Eukaryota; Metazoa; Chordata; Actinopteri; Perciformes; Gasterosteidae.
GUCCCGAGUCUAAGAGAACCAGGGAGUCUAUUAGACGGCACCGGUUGUAGUUAUAAUUAAUUUAACUGUCAGUUAACCUUCUGCUACAGAUUUGCACUCUCUCUAAUCUGUCAGCGGCAUCAUCCUUCAUCGCCUCCCUCGCGUUCCCUACUCUUCUUUCCUCAUGUUAAGUCCUGCUACAGUAGUGCCGUCUCUGUACCAGGUAGAGCUCAACAAUAUGGACCAAAAACCAGGCAUAUUCUACGGUUGACUAUUUGCUUUUACAAAGGUUUUUUUCUGUAAAUGACUGAUUCUGAUAUUGGUAUAUUUAUUUAGGCCGCAGUAAACGGUGCCCUUCCCUCUUUAUUCUGGAUUUAGGCCAAACACACUGCUAGCUGCUGCAGCUGAACAGUGUGUCAUGUAGCAGUAUACUGUCUUAUGCAACCCUCCACCUCCCCUCGUCUCCUAUUCAGGGGAGCAGGUGAUUGGUUACUCAGUUACUGUAUGAUCGUAUUAAUCGUACACGCUUGAACAGAUCAUGUGCGAUAACACACAUCUCUCAGGAUGUUCCACUGGUUGCUUGACGCCUCACAAACUGCUCCGGUAACAGGCUCGCUCACUUCCUCUCCAGGACGGAGCAGUAGGAUCAUAAAAUGCACAACUUGUGCAAACAAGCAGCAAUAAAGUGCAGUGUGAGCGCUUCCGCACCAGGUACGGUCACAUCACAAUGAUUAGAUUGACAUGAUAAAUAUGUAAAACCCCGUCAUCUGCCAAGCACGUUAUGGAUCAGCUCCUGUACUUUGCCAACCACGUCUCUGAGCACAAGCAGCAAACGGCACCAACAUGUUGUUGCUUUGCUUCAAAGUGUCAGCGGGUUUGACAAGUGAUUUGUGAAAAGAAAUCCAUCAAUAAAUGACUUUAAUGAAUAAAUGUGUUUGAGGUAUUCAUUGUAUCAUUGCAGGUAAUUAUUAACUGACUUCCUUGACCUUGGACCUGAGGCUUGCAGACCAAAUCGAUAACGUUCAGCAUGUUCUGCUAAUUCAUUGUGUUUGAAAAAGACACGAAGAGAACCUUUAAUCAGAGAACUGGUGGUUUGGCUCCCGGCUCUGCUAAUGUGUCCUCUGGCAGGAAUGCAUUGAACGGAUGAUGACAUGACAAAGAGAAGUCUGAGUACAGCCUAUCUAUCUAAACGCUAUGCUGGUCUGUAUUUGAGAUGAAACAUGCACACGCACACAAAUGUUAAAACAUUCGUCACAAUAGUUGAAAAUCUGCUCUUACCCACAACACAUGGUAACCUUCAGCUAAGCUGACUCCACUGCUCCACCCGUCAGCUGUAAUGAGCCAAACAGAAAUGACGCAGCUGUUACUAUUAUUGGUGACGGAGGGUCCUAAUGCGGCUCCUCGUGUCUCCUCAGAGUUGGACGUCUGAAAGGUAGAUGGGCUAAAAAUAGCUCCGCCCACACAGACCCCUCCAUCGGGACGCGAUGAACCCGGGGGAUAAACGGCAGGCCAGCGAUGGAAAACAGAGCGUCACUGAAAUAAGGCGCUGUCAGGGUCGGCAACACACAAUUACUCCUGAAUACUAACGGUCGAUUUUAAAGUGAUGUCGUUGCGUAAGAGUGAUAAAGAUGCCGUGUGGUUUCUAUAAACCAGGGGUGGGAUUCCCUCGGCGUUUUUUGUCGUGUUAAAUGCAGGGAUUUGAAACACAAAGUGCGCGAAAUAUUUUGGUCAGAGUUAAAACAAACCAACGUUAAUGAUUGUGAGGUCAAAUACACUCAACCAUCCAUCCUGAUUCCAAAGAGGGGUUGAGGGAACAGACACGAUUUCCCCGAUGAACAGACAUAAACCUACAGGUAGUUCAGUGUUUGAGGAAACAACCAUUGAAUAGAUUUUCUGAUGUGAAGCACAAUGUGCUCGGAAGCAGAGGCUCAUCAACGGGACAGGAUCUCAACUCAAGGUCCGCUGGUUUUACAAAGCGCCUUCAGGUACAUGCUGCAGUCCUUUUCACACCUCCACACCUGCCGCAUUAGGUGGAAUUAUUCCACAUUGAAAUGGCACAAAAUAUCUGGUAAGUAAGUGAGGUUAAGUACCUUCAGUCAGGACGGUUUCGUCAAAGUUCAACCUUGGGUUUACUGGAGGGGAUCGGCUUAAUGGAAGCCACCUGCAGGUGUUGGGUUCCCUUGUGUGUGUCUGUGUGUGUCUGCCCAGCUGCUCUCCAUCAUAUCACCACUCCACAGCAAUCUGCCCCUUUCCCAUCCGCUCUUCAGUGGUAAACAACGCGUGCUGGGCUGUACGAGUAAUUUAAAGUAAUUUAAAGUAUUGACUAGUGUUGCACGGUGUACCGGUACUAGAAAGGUACCGCGGUACCCAUACGUUGAAAACAAUACGGUUUUGAAUAUUUUUAGUACCAGUACUUUAAGAAAAGCAGCAAUUGUAGCGCACUGACUGUCCCGCUCCGUGUCGGGCUGCCUGCACACAUCGACUGAACGGCUCUCACACAUGUUGUCAGGGGAGACGCGCCCUCUCGUAGCAGACUGCUCACCCAUAUACAGCCUAACACCAUUAGCCUUAGCCUAGCUUAGCUCGGGUGACCAGACGUCCUCUUUUACCCAGACGCAUUUUUUAGGUCUCGAAAAGAGGAAAUGUCCGAGUAUAAGAGGACGUCUGCUUUGUCUUGUGUUGCAUUGCUUGAUGUUUGACUGUUUGGAAAAUUGUUGACUUGCUAGUUUGUCAUAAACAAAGUAAGUUUAGCCGCUAGCAGACAUCUCGUUAGCAAUGUUAGCAAGCUUGUUAUAAAACGCUAGCAUAGUGAUGCUAGUAUUAAGUGCUCUCGAGUCGGCUUCUUUGUAAUGUUAUAGGGACACUUUUCACUAAACCUUGGAGUGAGACGUUGGGGGUGAAGCUACGGCUGACGGGGGUGUAAGUUACGCUACGUGCGGCGAAUCGGGUUAUAGAUGCGCCGUUUAGAUGAACCAGCGCAGAUUCUUUUUUUUUUGCGUAAUAAAUUGGAUGUGUGGCGUGAGUGCGUGUGAAAACAUGGAAACACGCGUGUCACACGGGGAAACCGUGAGAGUUGGCAGCCCUGUAGCUUUGUUGCUAGCUUGACAACAACUUAACACAGUCAAACAUCAAGCAACACAAAACAAAGCAAGACCCCAAAUAAGUUCCUGAAUAGUCCAGCAGAAAUAUAUACAUGCAACAUAACCUACAAUUUCACUCAUGUGGGCCGAUAUGAUCAUGAGGUCAGAAUGCACACAAAAUUGUACCAAAUAAUACACACUUGAUGCAAUAGGCUACAUGCUAGUGGAUCUUCACCUAAUCCUUUUUAUUUUGAGUUAAGGAAAUUUCUGAGAAUCUGAGAAUAGCAAACUAUGCAAGUAAAUAAAGCAUUGUUCAUCCCACAGACAGUCAAACAGAUAUCAGGUAAAAAAAGGAACCAAUGUUUUAUUUAUUACUAUCAUAGAUAAAUAUAUUCCAUUAUCCUAUUUGUGGUAUCGUAUCGGAAGUAUCGGAAGCCGUAAUAUUUUGGCAGGUAUAGUAUCGAAGUCAUAGUUUUGGUAUCGUGACAACUCUAGUAUUGACCUCUCUUGUCUACGUGUGUGCACACAGUGUUUCUGGAUCAUCCUCCUGAUGAGGUCAUGACAGCACACCCUGAUGAGGUCAUGACAGCACACCCUGAUGAGGUCAUGACAGCACAUCCUGAGCGAACCGCUGCAGCUGCCCCAAACCACCACCUGUUUGACCACAACUUGCUGCCCAUCAUCUUCACCAGCACCACCACCAUCUUCACCACCAUCAUCGUCAUCACCACCAUCUUCACCACCACCAACAUCAUCACCACCAUCAUCACCACCAUCUUCAUCUUCACCACCACCACCAUCUUCACCACCAUCUUCACCACUAUCACCACCAUCAUCUUCACCACCACCACCACCACCAUCUUCACAGCCACCAACAUCAUCACCACCAUCUUCACCAUGACCACCAUCAUCAUCACCACCAUCAACAUCAUUACCACCAUCUUCACCACUAUCACCACCACCAUCUUCACCACCACCAUCAUCCUCACCACCAUCUUGACCAAUACCACCACCACCAUCUUUACCAUAACCACCAUCAUCAUCACCACCACUAUCACCACCACCAUAUUCACCACCACCAUCAUCUUCACCAUCAUCAUCCUCACCACCAUCUUGACCACCACCAUCUUUACCAUGACCACCAUCAUCAUCACCACCACUAUCACCACCACCAUAUUCACCACCACCAUCAUCCUCACCACCAUCUUGACCACCACCAUCAUCACCACCACCAUCUUCACCACCACCACCACCAUCUUCACCACGACCACCAUCAUCAUCGACAUCAUCAGCUCAGAUGGAGACAGCAGGUGCUUCGCCCAAAUACCGCAGCCUGGCACGGCGGGGCACGUGUCAACCGACGGGGUGUCUUACCGGUCCCCUCCUCUUCAGAGAGAUGUUCUUCCACAGCAGGAGAUGGAGCUGGUGCAGGAAUCCCAUUUUGCUUCGGUCCCGUUGUGUCACUCAACGGAGCAGAUUAGCUCGCCGGUACCGGCGGCGGCCUGUGACUGGAUGUGAAUAACCGGGGAUUCUGUGCCGGUGCCGAGCAUCCCGCCCGAGCCUGUUGUUGCGGUGCUGAGAUGCGCAGGUUCUGCUAACGAUCAGUAUUAAGAAGCUCGCGUUUCUCGCUUUGUCGCAGUCGUAACGGGACCGACUGGUUCCCGUCUGUCAUCCUCUGCGGUCCGAGCAGCGCGGCGAGCUGCUCCUCCGGUUCACUAGUGCACCAGGGACGCGAAGGGGACGCGCAGACAGCCGCUGUUAAGCUCACCGGAGGAAUAAAACCACUUCCGGCCUGCCCUUUAGAAACAAAAGCCCCGCCAGCUCAGCGAUGGACCAGGGCUUGUAACGCCUGCACCGUUAAAUAUAAUAAAAAGCCCUCUUAUUUUAAUAAUGAAAUAUCAGUUGUGAUUUUGUGAGUAGAAUCAAAAGCAUUCAGUCAUUUCAUGGGACUACGUCAGCCUCAUAAAGGGACGGGGAGCGUUAUGACCAACAGAUGUCCCGUCUCUCUGUCACGUCCAGUCACACAGCUGCUAUUACCUUUAUCUGCUUUAUCUUCCUCAGAAGGCCUUCACACGUUAUGCAGUCAUCCAAUGUUUAGUUAUAUCUAUAAGAUGCUAAAUAGAUGGUUAAUGUUGUAAUAUCAUGAUUAUAAGUAUAUUCAAAUAUCUGACUUGAUUAAUGACCAUAACAGUCAAACUCCACUUUGUCCUGAAGGAAGAUGUGAUGUCGCCGAGAAUUUGUUGCCAAAUGCAAAAGACAGGGCAAAAUGACACACAAAAAGGCCUGUUGAGGCACUGCAGCAUUUCUCAUCCGCUUACGUGACAUUUGAUUGAUGCCAAACACUUUGGUACUGACUUAAAGAUACUGCACCAGACGUGGGAGUCCGUUGUGUAAUAGUGAGUGUCGGGGGACGGUUGUUCGUUAGUUAAAGGGGUCAUAAAAUGUUGUGGAGUAUAAAGCGUUAUUUCCAUUUGAAAUACAGAAAUGAAAGAAUACUCAAAUAAAGUAUAAGGAAGAUUGUACUGAGUUACAGUGCAUUGAUGUGCUAAUAUAAUGUCGGUAGCGCUUCUGGCUGUAUUGAUGUACUAAACCCAUGUUACAUGCCGGUUUAAAAGAGACACUGGCAGCACUCAAGGCUUGUGUCUGUCCUCUAUGUUUGAGUGUCCUUUACAAACUGACACAUCUUUGGCAUAUGGAAGCACUAUUAUUGCAAACAAGUAGAAUAUCCAGGAGUUGAGUCUACUUUCACAAAAAAAGAGAGUUGUCAGGGUGUGAUGCACGGGGGUGUCAAUAGACAGUCAACAGUACACAAUAGAUCUAGACAAAAUGUGUUUGGAGAGACAUUUGUCCGACAAGAGACACAGCAAACAAGCAACAAAAUGCAGAAAACGCCUGGUUUUCAUUUUAAAUUGUUGUUUCACUUUAUUCUGAAAGUCUAGCUUCCUGUCUCCAUAAAUGAUAGCGGAAUCCUGUAAAACAUCAGGACGAGAUGUUGUCAAUCAGUGGACACUGGAGGACCACACAGGACAGAGGACAGUGACACCCCCAAAGCUCCAGGAACAGAUGCAUUUCCAUGUUAUUUGACUUGUGUAACACAUUGUUUUGUAGCAGCGGAGAAUGACUUGGGUCACGUGUCUGUCGGACAGUGAGCCUGUGAACAUGUUCCGAUGGAGCUCUGAGGUGAGACCUGUUCUCAGCAGGAACCGGAACGUUCCGUGGUUGCCGUGGUUACCGGAAUGUUCGUCUUCAAACUCACAUUGGAUCGGUCAGAGAAGCAGACAUCUCUACUCUCCCACGAAACCUUCAGACAGAUUCUCUGCCCCCAGAAGUCCACCAGAGACCAUCUGACGAAGUGUACAGAACCUUCUGCAGCACAGAAGUGAGAUUUAUACACUUUUAAAGCCACUGUUGUUUCAUGUAUUUUACCGGUGACCCCAGAUGUUUAUGCUAAUCUUUGUGGUCAUAUUUUCAAUGGUUAGUGCAACUUAAACUACUGGAAACGACUUGUGGGUUUAUCUAAACUAAGGCGACGACUUGUGGGUUUAUCUAAACUAAGGCAACGACUUGUGGGUUUAUCUAAACUAAGGCAACGACUUGUGAGUUUAUCUAAACUAAGGCAACGACUUGUGAGUUUAUCUAAACUAAGGCAACGACUUGUGAGUUCAUCUAAACUAAGGCAACGACUUGUGGGUUUAUCUAAACUAAGGCAACGACUUGUGAGU